This 437-nucleotide long non-coding RNA is filed under the name Homo sapiens (human). RNAcentral describes it as "HSALNT0262748". Lineage: Eukaryota; Metazoa; Chordata; Mammalia; Primates; Hominidae. The record is from RNAcentral.
CAUCUUCAAUACUGUAUCUCACACAACACCCACUGCUCUGUAUCAAGGCUGUAAAGGCAGAAUUCCAUUUCUCAUGCAAAUGAGGGAAACAGGAAAAGAAUACACGUGUGUAAACACAGGAUCCCUUGAGACAUGACCCCUCCAGCCACAGUCAUCUGAAUACAGUGCAAAGUGACUCAUGACUCAUGGUAUGACCACACUCAUGGCUGGCUACAAAUGAGAGGAAAAAAGAAUGUCCUGAUAGUAGCAUGUGAGGAACUGCAUCAGGUUAUCCCAGUGAGAAGAUCAAGGAUGGUCGCUGUCUGCCUUUUCUUCAUUGUUCCAGUGGACAUAAGAGCCAGUGUAGAGAUAAUCAGCCAAUUACUGGGCAAGAAACUAAGCCCAGAAGAACUGAACUCAAGUCAUUAAGCACACAUCCUUCCAGACCAUGAAAGAUA